AGAUUGAACGCUGGCGGCAUGCCUUACACAUGCAAGUCGAACGGCAGCACGGGAGCAAUCCUGGUGGCGAGUGGCGAACGGGUGAGUAAUACAUCGGAACGUGCCCAAUCGUGGGGGAUAACGCAGCGAAAGCUGUGCUAAUACCGCAUAAGAUCUACGGAUGAAAGCAGGGGAUCGCAAGACCUUGCGCGAAUGGAGCGGCCGAUGGCAGAUUAGGUAGUUGGUGAGGUAAAGGCUCACCAAGCCUUCGAUCUGUAGCUGGUCUGAGAGGACGACCAGCCACACUGGGACUGAGACACGGCCCAGACUCCUACGGGAGGCAGCAGUGGGGAAUUUUGGACAAUGGGCGAAAGCCUGAUCCAGCCAUGCCGCGUGCAGGAUGAAGGCCUUCGGUUGUAAACUGCUUUUGUAACGGAACGAAAGUCUACUUUCUAAUAAAGAGGAUCAUGACGUACGUAAGAAUAAGCACCGACUAACUACGUAACCG
Molecule: ribosomal RNA, 487 nt
Filed under: uncultured soil bacterium
Lineage: Bacteria
Description: bacterial SSU rRNA
Rfam family: Bacterial small subunit ribosomal RNA
Source: RNAcentral